UUUAGGGAUUUCUUUCACUUUCACGAAUGUGAGCUUGAAUGCAUGAAUCUUAGUUGAUUUUCCACCUCUAGAGAGUAUUUAUAGCCUCCAUUUGGACUUGAGAGUAUCUUAGUGUCAGUUAAGAGCUGUUGGAGAGUAUUUAAUAUGCAUUAAAUACAUCAAAAAUAGAUUGAAAACUAGCCGUUAUGCAUGCUCGCCAGAAUGAGACGUCCCAUGGGAUGCCUCAUUGGCAAUG
This 235-nucleotide long non-coding RNA is filed under the name Elaeis guineensis (African oil palm). RNAcentral describes it as "long non-coding RNA (EGUI_LNC048439)". Lineage: Eukaryota; Viridiplantae; Streptophyta; Magnoliopsida; Arecales; Arecaceae. The record is from RNAcentral.